This 802-nucleotide long non-coding RNA is filed under the name Rattus norvegicus (Norway rat). Its description in RNAcentral is "long non-coding RNA NONRATT022687". Lineage: Eukaryota; Metazoa; Chordata; Mammalia; Rodentia; Muridae. The record is from RNAcentral.
GAAAUGGGGGUCCAGAAGCCAUCCUUCCCCUGCUUCUGUGCCCUACCAGCCCUGCGCGCUCUCCAUUUCCUGACUUAGAAAGCGUCUAGUCACUCGUUACUCACCCAGUACUGUGUCUUCCAGGUCGGGUUCCCACUCCCGCAGCAAGAGCCGCAGCCGCAGCCAGAGCCGCAGUCGCAGUAAGAAGGAGAAAAGCCGGAGCCCCAGCAAAGACAACAAGAGCCGCAGUCGCAGCCGCAGCCCCGACAAGAGCCGAAGCAAAAGUAAAGACCAUGCAGAGGACAAGCUCCAGAACAACGACAGCGCUGGCAAAGCCAAGAGCCACAGCCCCAGCCGCCAUGACAGUAAAAGUCGGAGCAGGAGCCAGGAGAGGAGAGCAGAGGAGGAGAGGAGAAGCAGCACGAGCAGGGGUCACAGCCAGGAGAAGAGCCUGCUUAAGAGCCGCAGCCGCAGCCGCAGCAAAGUGGGCAGCCGCAGCCGCAGCCGCAGCAAAAGCAAGGACAAGCGGAAGGGCCGGAAGAGAAGCAGGGAAGAAAGUCGAAGCCGGAGCCGCAGCAAGAGCGAGCGCAGCCGGAAGCAUAGCAGCAAGCGGGACAGCAAAGUCAGCAGCAGCAGCAGCAAGAAGAAGAAGGGAGACACCGACCACUCCCGGUCACCGUCCCGCUCAGUGUCAAAGGAGCGGGAACAUGCCACGGCAGAGCCUGGCCAGAGGGAAAGCCGGGCUGAGGGUGAGAGCGAGGGUCCCAAUCCAGAGCCCCGGGCCAGGUCAAGAUCCACUUCCAAAUCCAAACCUAGUCUCCCG